AGUUUUGAUAGAGGUUGCGCUUUUCAUCAGUAGCCUGUUGGAUGUAUUCUGGUACAGAAGAAGACAGGGGAAAGGGGACGGCGCCGAAGAGAUAUUCCGCAGAGAGGUUUAUUUCUGGGCAUAUGGUUAACAGCCAUGUGACUGUCAUCUUUUUUAAGAUGGAGAGCUAUCUAAAGA
Molecule: non-coding RNA, 177 nt
Filed under: Anaerobium acetethylicum
Lineage: Bacteria; Bacillati; Bacillota; Clostridia; Lachnospirales; Lachnospiraceae
Description: Lysine sequence
Rfam family: Lysine riboswitch aptamer
About the family: Riboswitches are metabolite binding domains within certain messenger RNAs that serve as precision sensors for their corresponding targets. Allosteric rearrangement of mRNA structure is mediated by ligand binding, and this results in modulation of gene expression.
Source: Rfam by way of RNAcentral